AGGAAAAGAAACUAACAAGGAUUUCCCCAGUAACGGCGAGUGAAGCGGGAAAAGCCCAGCACCGAAUCCCCCAGUGUCAUGCUGGCGGGAACUGUGGUGUGUGGGACGCCACCAGUCGUGCGUGCGAGCGCCGAAGUUCUCCUGAUCGAGGCUUCACCCAGAGCGGGUGUAAGGCCUUUGCUGGUGCUUCGCUGUGCGGCCGCGAGCGUCUCAGGAGUCGGGUUGUUUGGGAAUGCAGCCCAAAGUGGGUGGUAAACUCCAUCUAAGGCUAAAUACUGGCACGAGUCCGAUAGCGGACAAGUACCGUGAGGAAAGUUGAAAAGAACUUUGAAGAGAGA
Molecule: ribosomal RNA, 338 nt
Filed under: Pneumodermopsis sp. DTLT2001
Lineage: Eukaryota; Metazoa; Mollusca; Gastropoda; Pteropoda; Pneumodermatidae
Description: eukaryotic LSU rRNA
Rfam family: Eukaryotic large subunit ribosomal RNA
Source: RNAcentral